This 460-nucleotide ribosomal RNA is filed under the name uncultured bacterium. RNAcentral describes it as "partial 16S ribosomal RNA". It matches the Rfam family "Bacterial small subunit ribosomal RNA", at positions 338 to 795 of the family's 1533-position model. The record is from RNAcentral.
CCUACGGGGGGCAGCAGUGAGGAAUAUUGGUCAAUGGACGAGAGUCUGAACCAGCCAAGUAGCGUGAAGGAUGACUGCCCUAUGGGUUGUAAACUUCUUUUAUAUGGGAAUAAAACGUUCCACGUGUGGGAUUUUGUAUGUACCAUAUGAAUAAGGAUCGGCUAACUCCGUGCCAGCAGCCGCGGUAAUACGGAGGAUCCGAGCGUUAUCCGGCUUUAUUGGGGUUAAAGGGAGCGUAGGUGGAUUGUUAAGUCAGUUGUGAAAGUUUGCGGCUCAACCGUAAAAUUGCAGUUGAUACUGGCAGUCUUGAGUACAGUAGAGGUAGGCGGAAUUCGAGGUGUAGCGGUGAAAUGCUUAGAUAUCACGAAGAACUCCGAUUGCGAAGGCAGUUCACUGGACUGCAACUGACACUGAGGCUCGAAAGUGUGGGUAUCAAACAGGAUUAGAUACCCGGGUAGUC